GUUCCGGUAGCUCAGUCGGUAGAGCGCCGCCUCGACAAGACGGAGGUCCCUGGUUCGAGUCCAGGCCGGAACAC
This 74-nucleotide transfer RNA is filed under the name Actinoplanes philippinensis. RNAcentral describes it as "tRNA-Val". It matches the Rfam family "tRNA". Rfam says of the family: Transfer RNA (tRNA) molecules are approximately 80 nucleotides in length. Their secondary structure includes four short double-helical elements and three loops (D, anti-codon, and T loops). Lineage: Bacteria; Bacillati; Actinomycetota; Actinomycetes; Micromonosporales; Micromonosporaceae. The record is from RNAcentral.